Long non-coding RNA from Dioscorea cayenensis subsp. rotundata (Guinea yam), 1002 nucleotides. RefSeq lists it as uncharacterized. The record is from RefSeq and is a predicted model, not a curated record. NCBI's taxonomy places the organism in Eukaryota, Viridiplantae, Streptophyta, Magnoliopsida, Dioscoreales, Dioscoreaceae. The transcript has 5 exons.
ACUGCUUUACGGCUCAUUUGCAUCGCCUCCGCCGCAGACUCUUCUCUCUCGCCGGAGUGCCGCUCCGCCACCGCCUCGUCAUCAUCGAGGAAGACCAUCAUCGCCUCAGGACUCACAGGAGUCACCAUCGGCAUUGUCGCCUCCUCAAACCUCUCCGGCGUUGCCUCAUGCCUAAACAUUGCUUCAAAGCUCAUCUGAUUCCUGUACUUCAUCGGCAUCGGUGCUUUCACUAUCACGGAGAAGACGCGAAGAGGACUGGAGUUCAUCGGAGUUCGAGAAGCCGCUGGUCGUGACUGGCAUCUUCAUUAGGCCGUAUGCCUACACCACAUGAGUUGUUUCUUUUUACUCACACUAAGAAACAUGAUGGACAAAUUUUUAUUGAUGAAAAGUCUAAAUCACUCAAUGAUAAAGUAUUGAGCUUGAGAGAUGCACCUCAAACAAUUUCUCGAUCUAGAAAUGUUAAUUCUCAACCAAUAGAUGAGGUCGCACUUUAUUAUGAGGCAGUUGGUGGUGAAAAAAAGAGAAGGGUGUAUGGUCUUGGAUCUCAAGCAUCUUAUUAUUGUGGUGGUAAUACAAAUGCAAGCAAAUCAAGUACUAGCUCUUUUGAAUCAAAAAAUCAAGAGGAGCUUCAAAAUGAGUUGGCAACUAUGAAGAAGAAGAUAGAGGCUCAAGAUAAUUUGAUAGUUGAUUUGCAAAGAACAAUUGAGAUGUUGUGUAAUCACAUUGUUAUGCCUCCUCUACAUGGAACACAAAAUGCAAGUAACAAUCAACCAGAGGAGAGUGAAGGCACAAGAGAUGGAGAUGGAGAUGGUGGUGAAGAUCCUGGACUUUUAUAAAUAUUUGUGCUUUAAUUGCUACUUUUUGCUUGUCUAACUUUGGGUAUUUUUUUGUAUUGUUACUUGUUGUUGAUUUCUUACAUUCUUAUGUAGUGGUAUUGUUGAUAUCCUAAAUACUUAUGGAUUGCUAUAUUUUAUUUAUAGUAUAAUUUAUAAAAAUAUUAGA